AUUGAACGCUGGCGGCAGGCCUAACACAUGCAAGUCGAGCGGCUGAAGGGAGCUUGCUCCUGGAUUCAGCGGCGGACGGGUCAGUAAUGCCUAGGAAUCUGCCUGGUAGUGGGGGAUAACGUCCGGAAGCGGGCGCUAAUACCGCAUACGUCCUGAGGGAGAAAGUGGGGGAUCUUCGGACCUCACGCUAUCAGAUGAGCCUAGGUCGGAUUAGCUAGUUGGUGGGGUAAAGGCCUACCAAGGCGACGAUCCGUAACUGGUCUGAGAGGAUGAUCAGUCACACUGGAACUGAGACACGGUCCAGACUCCUACGGGAGGCAGCAGUGGGGAAUAUUGGACAAUGGGCGAAAGCCUGAUCCAGCCAUGCCGCGUGUGUGAAGAAGGUCUUCGGAUUGUAAAGCCCUUUAAGUUGGGAAGAAGAGCAGUAAGUUAAUACCUUGCUGUUUUGACGGUACCAACAGAAUAAGCACCGGCUAACUUCGUG
This 484-nucleotide ribosomal RNA is filed under the name uncultured bacterium. Its description in RNAcentral is "partial 16S ribosomal RNA". It matches the Rfam family "Bacterial small subunit ribosomal RNA", at positions 30 to 507 of the family's 1533-position model. The record is from RNAcentral.